GAUGAACGCUGGCGGCGUGCCUAAUACAUGCAAGUCGAGCGAACAGAUGCGGAGCUUGCUCCUCUGACGUUAGCGGCGGACGGGUGAGUAACACGUGGAUAACCUACCUAUAAGACUGGGAUAACUUCGGGAAACCGGAGCUAAUACCGGAUAAUAUAUUGAACCGCAUGGUUCAAUAGUGAAAGACGGUUUUGCUGUCACUUAUCGAUGGAUCCGCGCCGCAUUAGCUAGUUGGUAAGGUAACGGCUUACCAAGGCAACGAUGCGUAGCCGACCUGUGAGGGGGAUCGGCCACACUGGAACUGAGACACGGUCCAGACUACUACGGGAGGCAGCAGUAGGGAAUCUUCCGCAAUGGGCGAAAGCCUGACGGAGCAACGCCGAGUGAGUGAUGAAGGUCCUCGGAUCGUAAAACUCUGUUAUUAGGGAAGAACAAAUGUGUAAGUAACUAUGCACGUCUUGACGGUACCGAAUCAGAAAGCCACGGCUAACUACGUG
RNAcentral lists this ribosomal RNA (497 nucleotides) under uncultured bacterium. Its description in RNAcentral is "partial 16S ribosomal RNA". It matches the Rfam family "Bacterial small subunit ribosomal RNA", at positions 28 to 507 of the family's 1533-position model. The record is from RNAcentral.